GAUGAACGCUAGCUACAGGCUUAACACAUGCAAGUCGAGGGGAAACGACAUCGAAAGCUUGCUUUUGAUGGGCGUCGACCGGCGCACGGGUGAGUAACGCGUAUCCAACCUGCCCACCACUUGGGGAUAACCUUGCGAAAGUAAGACUAAUACCCAAUGAUAUCCCACGAAGGCAUCCGAAUGGGAUUAAAGAUUUUGCGGACAUGGAUGGGGAUGCGUCCGAUUAGCUGGUUGGCGGGGUAACGGCCCACCAAGGCGACGAUCGGUAGGGGUUCUGAGAGGAAGGUCCCCCCANAUUGGAACUGAGACACGGUCCAAAACUCCUACGGGAGGCAGCAGUGAGGAAUAUUGGUCAAUGGACGCAAGUCUGAACCAGCCAAGUAGCGUGCAGGAUGACGGCCCUAAUGGGUUGUAAACUGCUUUUAUGCGGGGAUAAAGUGAGGGACGUGUCCCUUUUUGCAGGUACCGCAUGAAUAAGGACCGGCUAAUUCCGUG
RNAcentral lists this ribosomal RNA (495 nucleotides) under uncultured bacterium. RNAcentral's name for it is "bacterial SSU rRNA". It matches the Rfam family "Bacterial small subunit ribosomal RNA", at positions 28 to 507 of the family's 1533-position model. The record is from RNAcentral.